This 519-nucleotide ribosomal RNA is filed under the name uncultured eukaryote. Its description in RNAcentral is "bacterial SSU rRNA". It matches the Rfam family "Eukaryotic small subunit ribosomal RNA", at positions 1161 to 1722 of the family's 1831-position model. The record is from RNAcentral.
AGGGCACCACCAGGAGUGGAGCCUGCGGCUUAAUUUGACUCAACACGGGAAAUCUUACCCGGCCCGGACACUGGAAGGAUUGACAGAUUGAGAGCUCUUUCUUGAUUCGGUGGGUGGUGGUGCAUGGCCGUUCUUAGUUGGUGGAGCGAUUUGUCUGGUUAAUUCCGAUAACGAACGAGACUCUGGCCUACUAAAUAGAUGAUUCCUCCUUUGUUACGGAGUCACUGCUUCUUAGAACGAGCGGCGACUCUGACCCACAAAACAGAGAAAUAACAGGUGUGUGAUAUGCCCAUAGAUGCUGGGGGGCGCACGCGCUCUACACUGAAGGAAUCCGCGUGUCAUAACCCUCUGCGAAGGGAGUGGGAACCGUUGAAACUCCUUUCUGAUGUGGAUUAGGAUGUAAUUUUUCCAUUACAAGGAAUUUCCGUAACGCCGUCUCAGCUUCGCGUAAUACCCCCUCCCUUUGAAAAACCCGCCCCUUCCCGAUUGAUGUUUAGGGGACUUCGAUGGCGGAGCCUU